GUCUACGGCCAUACCACCCUGAACACGCCCGAUCUCGUCUGAUCUCGGAAGGUAAGCAGGGUUGGGCCUGGUUAGUACUUGGAUGGGAGAAUUGCUGUGGCCAUGUAGAUG
Molecule: ribosomal RNA, 111 nt
Organism: Neogale vison (American mink)
Lineage: Eukaryota; Metazoa; Chordata; Mammalia; Carnivora; Mustelidae
Source: Ensembl